UUGACUGUGAAUCGUUGCCUUCAGUGCUGGCUCCGGCAAGUGCACGUUGGUGACUUUCAUCCAACACUCUUGUGAACCUUUGGCCUCUUGCUGGCCUCGGCUGGCAGAGGAUUUUUACACCGACUCGAAUGUAAUGAAAUUAUCAUUGUGCGUAAGCACUACGAAUGUA
RNAcentral lists this unclassified non-coding RNA (169 nucleotides) under uncultured Sebacina. RNAcentral's name for it is "sequence contains ITS1". Lineage: Eukaryota; Fungi; Basidiomycota; Agaricomycetes; Sebacinales; Sebacinaceae. The record is from RNAcentral.